UGGGGAAUCUUGCACAAUGGGCGAAAGCCUGAUGCAGCGACGCCGCGUGCGGGAUGAAGGCCUUCGGGUUGUAAACCGCUUUCAGCAGGGACGAGGCCGCAAGGUGACGGUACCUGCAGAAGAAGCCCCGGCUAACUACGUGCCAGCAGCCGCGGUAAUACGUAGGGGGCAAGCGUUAUCCGGAUUCAUUGGGCGUAAAGCGCGCGUAGGCGGUUUGUUAGGUCAGGAGUUAAAUCUGGGGGCUCAACCCCUAUCCGCUCCUGAUACCGGCAGGCUUGAGUCUGGUAGGGGAAGGCGGAAUUCCGAGUGUAGCGGUGAAAUGCGCAGAUAUUUGGAAGAACACCGGUGGCGAAGGCGGCCUUCUGGGCCACGACUGACGCUGAGGCGCGAAAGCUAGGGGAGCGAACAGG
Molecule: ribosomal RNA, 410 nt
Filed under: Verrucomicrobiota bacterium
Lineage: Bacteria; Pseudomonadati; Verrucomicrobiota
Description: Verrucomicrobia bacterium partial 16S ribosomal RNA
Rfam family: Bacterial small subunit ribosomal RNA
Source: RNAcentral